GCCUUCUCUAAUCUGCUGUUGUCUUCUCAUCAAUUGGAUCUCUCUCAGUACUACAAAUACCUCUCACUUCAUUCCCUCAGACUUGAUCAGUCACCUCCCGAUUCACUCACUGAAACCAUCCAUUUGCGGUCAAGUCACUCUUCCUAUCAUCACACCCGGAAUUCCUUCACUAGAGCUCCCUUCUGCUGACACUCCUGAGUCUUUUCCGCGCAGCCUCUACCGAGCUUCAGCCCGACCACAAUCUCAAACGACUUUAUCUGGCGUCUGAGCACCCAGAGCACUAGCACCCAGUACUCAGUGUCGAACCUGCCAACCUCCUUGAAGACAUGCCCCGUUACACCAACCGUGUCACAUCCAAAGACAUGAACCGUCGCGGUCUCUCCAACAGGAACGAAACAAAACAAUGUGUAAACAUGACGCUUUCCAAAGAGGCACAAAAGUCCGCCAGCAUGCAGCACCAUACAAACCCAAAACACACUGCCCGCCAGCAGGCCGAGGCGGAGGAGGCUGCCCGCCAGCAGGCCGAGGCGGAGGAGGCUGCCCGCCAGCAGGCUGAGGCUGAGGAGGCUGCCCGUCAGCAGGCCGAGGCGGAGGAGGCUGCCCGUCAGCAGGCCGAGGCGGAGGAGGCUGCCCGCCAGCAGGCCGAGGCGGAGGAGGCUGCCAGGCAGCAGGCCGAGGCGGAGGAGGCUGCCCGCCAGCAGGCCGAGGCGGAGGAGGCUGCCCGCCAGCAGGCGAGGCGGAGGAGGCUGCCCGCCAGCAGGCCGAGGCGGAGGAGGCUGCCCGCCAGCAGGCUGAGGCGGAGGAGGCUGCCCGCCAGCAGGCCGAGGCGGAGGAGGCUGCCCGCCAGCAGGCCGAGGCUGAGGAGGCUGCCCGCCAGCAGGCCGAGGCUGAGGAGGCUGCCCGCCAGCAGGCGAGGCGGAGGAGGCUGCCCGCCAGCAGGCCGAGGCUGAGGAGGCUGCCCGCCAGCAGGCCGAGGCUGAGGAGGCUGCCCGCCAGCAGGCCGAGGCGGAGGAGGCUGCCCGCCAGCAGGCCGAGGCUGAGGAGGCUGCCCGCCAGCAGGCCGAGGCUGAGGAGGCUGCCCGCCAGCAGGCCGAGGCGGAGGAGGCUGCCCGCCAGCAGGCCGAGGCGGAGGAGGCUGCCCGCCAGCAGGCCGAGGCGGAGGAGGCUGCCCGCCAGCAGGCCGAGGCGGAGGAGGCUGCCCGCCAGCAGGCGAGGCUGAGGAGGCUGCCCGCCAGAGGCGGAGGCUGAGGAGGCUGCCCGCCAGCAGGCCGAGGCGGAGGAGGCUGCCCGCCAGCAGGCCGAGGCUGAGGAGGCUGCCCGCCAGCAGGCCGAGGCUGAGGAGGCUGCCCGCCAGCAGGCCGAGGCUGAGGAGGCUGCCCGCCAGCAGGCCGAGGCUGAGGAGGCUGCCCGCCAGCAGGCCGAGGCUGAGGAGGCUGCCCGCCAGCAGGCCGAGGCGGAGGAGGCUGCCCGCCAGCAGGCCGAGGCGGAGGAGGCUGCCCGCCAGCAGGCCGAGGCUGAGGAGGCUGCCCGCCAGCAGGCCGAGGCGGAGGAGGCUGCCCGCCAGCAGGCCGAGGCGUGAGGAGGCUGCCCGCCAGCAGGCCGAGGCGGAGGAGGCUGCCCGCCAGCAGGCCGAGGCGGAGGAGGCUGCCCGCCAGCAGGCCGAGGCGGAGGAGGCUGCCCGCCAGCAGGCCGAGGCGGAGGAGGCUGCCGCAGCCGAGCGACCGCCAGCAGGCCGAGGCUGAGGAGGCUGCCCGCCAGCAGGCCGAGGCUGGAGGAGGCUGCCCGCCAGCAGGCCGAGGCGGAGGAGGCUGCCCGCCAGCAGGCCGAGGCGGAGGAGGCUGCCCGCAGCAGGCGCGAGGCUGGGAGGAGGCUGCCCGCCAGCAGGCGAGGCGGAGGAGGCUGCCGCCAGCAGGCGAGGCGGAGGAGGCUGCCCGCCAGCAGGCCGAGGCGGAGGAGGCUGCCCGCCAGCAGGCCGAGGCGGAGGAGGCUGCCCGCCAGCAGGCCGAGGCGGAGGAGGCUGCCCGCCAGCAGGCCGAGGCGGAGGAGGCUGCCCGCAGCAGGCCGAGGCGGAGGAGGCUGCCCGCCAGCAGGCCGAGGCGGAGGAGGCUGCCCGCGCGAGCAGGCCCCGAGGCGGAGGAGGCUGCCCGUCAGCAGGCCGAGGCGGAGGAGGCUGCCCGCCAGCAGGCCGAGGCGGAGGAGGCUGCCCGCCAGCAGGCCGAGGCGGAGGAGGCUGCCCGCCAGCAGGCCGAGGCGGAGGAGGCUGCCCGCCAGCAGGCCGAGGCGGAGGAGGCUGCCCGCCAGCAGGCCGAGGCUGAGGAGGCUGCCCGCGCAGCAGGCCGAGGCGGAGGAGGCUGCCCGCCAGCAGGCCGAGGCGGAGGAGGCUGCCCGCCAGGCAGGCUGAGGGCGGAGGAGGCUGCCCGCCAGCAGGCCGAGGCUGAGGAGGCUGCCCGCCAGCAGGCUGAGGCGGAAGAGGCUGCCCGCCAGCAGGCCGAGGCGGAGGAGGCUGCCCGCCAGCAGGGCUCGAGGCGGAGGAGGCUGCCCGCCAGCAGGCCGAGGCGGAGGAGGCUGCCCGCCAGCAGGCCGAGGCUGAGGAGGCUGCCCGCCAGCAGGCCGAGGGCGGAGGAGGCUGCCCGCCAGCAGGCCGAGGCGGAGGAGGCUGCCCGCAGCAGGCCGAGGCGGAGGAGGCUGCCGCCGCGCCAGCGAGGACCGCAGGCUGAGGAGGCUGCCCGCCAGCAGGCCUGAGGCGGAGGAGGCUGCCCGCCAGCAGGCCGAGGCUGGAGGAGGCUGCCCGUCAGCAGGCCGAGGCUGAGGAGGCUGCCCGCCAGCAGGCCGAGGCGGAGGAGGCUGCCCGCCAGCAGGCCGAGGCGGAGGAGGCUGCCCGCCAGCAGGCCGAGGCGGGAGGAGGCUGCCCGCAGCAGGCGAGGCGGAGGAGGCUGCCCGCCAGCAGGCCGAGGCUGAGGAGGCUGCCCGCCAGCAGGCUGAGGCGGAAGAGGCUGCCCGCCAGCAGGCCGAGGCGGAGGAGGCUGCCCGCCAGCAGGCCGAGGCGGAGGAGGCUGCCCGCCAGCAGGCCGAGGCGGAGGAGGCUGCCCGCAGGCGAGCGAGGAGGCUGGAGGCAGGCCGAGGCGGAGGAGGCUGCCCGCCAGCAGGCCGAGGCGGAGGAGGCUGCCGCCAGCAGGCGAGGCGGAGGAGGCUGCCCGCCAGCAGGCCGAGGCGGAGGAGGCUGCCCGCCAGCAGGCCGAGGCGGAGGAGGCUGCCCGCCAGCAGGCCGAGGCGGAGGAGGCUGCCCGCCAGCAGGCCGAGGCGGAGGAGGCUGCCCGCCAGCAGGCUGAGGCGGAGGAGGCUGCCCGCCAGCAGGCCGAGGCGGAGGAGGCUGCCCGCCAGCAGGCCGAGGCGGAGGAGGCUGCCCGCAGCAGGCCGAGGCUGAGGAGGCUGCCCGCCAGCAGGCCGAGGCUGAGGAGGGCUGCCCGCCAGCAGGCUGAGGCGGAGGAGGCUGCCCGCCAGCAGAGGCCGAGGCGGAGGAGGCUGCCCGCCAGCAGGCUGAGGCUGGAGGAGGCUGCCCCGCCAGCAGGCUGAGGCGGAGGAGGCUGCCCGCCAGCAGGCCGAGCUGAGGAGGCUGCCCGCCAGCAGGCCGAGGCUGAGGAGG
Molecule: unclassified non-coding RNA, 3643 nt
Filed under: Leishmania donovani
Lineage: Eukaryota; Euglenozoa; Kinetoplastea; Trypanosomatida; Trypanosomatidae
Description: gene:unknown
Source: RNAcentral